CUCCUCCUCUCUUCUCUGUCUGUCUCUCUCAUUUUUCCUCCCCAACUAAGGUUGCCGCUGCCGCCGCCCCAUCGCUCCCCACCGGAGAAAGGCCUGCUUCUCCCUAGGGUCUUCUACUCUUGGGGCUAAUCUGACAGGAAGGGCGGCGCUGCUCCUCCCCCGACAGCAAGGCGGGUGUCCUGCACGCUCACCAGCGAGGGAGAGGUUGCCACCUCUCCUCACCUCCUCCCAGGUUCCCGGCUCGAGUGGAGAGGGAUAGCUGCGUCCACAGGUGAAGGCGUUGCUGAGAACUGCCCCUUGUCCUUGUCGAUGGGGAGAAGGGAGCAACAACCUCUUUCUCUAAAAAAGGGAGCACCAACCGUAGCAGGUGGUGGUGUGGGCAAACGCGUUGGAGCCGCUUCGGCUUCUUCCAGCGGCUGUCUCUCCCCCGCCCUCAACAUCUCGCCGGAGCCACCGGAUUUCAGUGCCAAGGGAGAAUAGAAUCAACCGCGUGGCGCGGCCACAAACGCUGGUGAACGUCUCAGAUAUCAAUCAUGGUUACAUCCGGGAGGAAGAGGAGGGAGAGAAAGAGAUGGAUUGGGGAAGAAGAGGGGGUCCUCUGCAGAUCCUUUCUUAUUUUUUUGAAUAAACCUCUGAUUUAGGAGAGCAUGUUCUUAUAAGUUGCUAUUCCACUUUCUGGAUCUCCUGGACUAUAUAUUAAUUUUGGAUUUGUGUCCUGAAGAAUUUUGUUAGCAUUAGUUAGGAAAAAAUGUAUACAUUGGUUCAUAAUUUUUGAUGCAAAAAAGAAAAUGAAUAUAUAUUAUUUUGCAGAUUUGUGAAGUUCUUGUCUACGUGUGGUGAAACAGAGGUGACCAACGAGGACGUCGAGGCCAACUUUUCACCGCAUAUCAAGUAAUAUAAUUCCAGUAUGCAUCUACUUAUAAGCUAAUUAGCACUGUAUUUGUAGAGUUCAAUUGGAAGUUAAUUAGUUUGACAAUGUUAGGCGCCGAUGGCUUUAGAUAUGUAAAUAAAAAUAACUUUUAAGUAAAACUAAGUAUUUAAUUAUUGUUCUGUUGUGUUAUUGAUUUCACUGGUUUUAUGUCAGCCAUGAGUUCUGAAGGAUUCCGCAUCGGCCAGUUUGGAUUAUGUUACUAGAUUAUCGGAAGAACCUCAUGAUAUAUGAAUUUAGAGGAUUUGCUGAGAUUUGAUGCAAAAUAUUGAUGGCCAGGCACUAUAGUGCGCACAAGCACAAUUUUCGGAUUUUCUUGUCAUUUUUGUAGCAGUUUUUCUGUACCAAUAGUGUGACAUCACACUGCUGCAUUUUCACAGGCCAUGGAACAAUGAAGAACUUAGCAAGGAAUACCCAAACGGUCUACUGUUAUAAUUAUGCGUGCAUUUUGGAUCUAUUGGAUGUCUGGAUGUGCCGCAGAUCCACAUUCACUGAUGCAAAGGGCUCAGGAUAAGGAUUUCCUGAUCUUCUGCUUGCCACAUCUUGGUAUUUCUCAUCUGAACAUGAAUUCAGAAUGUUCCCUUUUGCAUCCAAGUAAAACUAUUCAUCGACAUUCUAUCAUUUACCAAAUUGCUCACUUUUCUUAGUGUUGAUAGGGAAUUCACCAUUAGUUACAACUCUGUUUGGUUUUGAGUUACUGUUUCACUAAUUGACACCUGCAAGUAAGGAGUCCUGAUGAAGUGAAUGAUUUGUGUGCGUGAAUCCGAUUAGGCUGUGUUAGGUUGAUACCUUUUGUGCAAAAGGGUUUGGCGAUGUAAGUCUGCUCCCUGUGGUAAUUCUGUUGUGUUGCAUGGCUAGCUUGUCGUACAUGGCUCGAUAUGCAAUUGGCCUGGGAUGACAUGUUUUCACCGAUUAGCUGGUUCCUACUAGCUGUUGCUUUGGUUCCUUUUUAUGUAAAUAUAACUUCCAGGUGUGAUUCUUGGUUAUUUAGAUACUAGCUAUCCUAUACGUAUAUUUCUGAUGAUUCAAUUGGUCUUAGUAAUACUGAAGUAUAGAGUACAGCCUUUAAUUUGUAUGCAAAUAUAAUUCUUUUAUUGCUUUUCAUAGAUUAGUUCAUUCUUUAGGUGUAUAUGCUCUUUAUAGUUUAUGUUUCCCUGUUGUUUAUGUAUGCUUAUAGAAUUAUACUAACCCAAAUGCUGUGAGGUGCUUGGUGUCCUAUAUACAGUAAUAUACCAAGUGCAUGUGUGUGCUUCAUGUUCCGCAUGGAUGCAGAUGGUUAUAGAUGUGCUACCAUGGCCUAUUUCUUAUCUUAUAGGUUAUGGGCGGUAUCUUAUCUUGCCUAAACCUGAUUUGAACAAAUGCUACACUUGCUCUCCCCACUCUUUCUUUCUCUCCUCCUCUCACUUCUCUUGCCAGCCAAUGACGUUGCAUUGAAGCUCUCACUGGGAUUUAACAGAUGCUACACCUAUAUGCUUCGAUGAAGGCGUAGUCCUAGCAUCUCUAGGCUGUCUAAGGACAUCUCCACUCUAAAACCCUACCUCUAUUCUUCUAGCUCAGAUUAACCUUCCUCUUAUGGUAAGCCUGCAUCUCCUAGAUGGUCACUAGGAGAAUGGCGGCGAUGAGGAGGCUCGGCCCUUGGCGCAGACCUGAACCCCUGAGCGGUGGCAGCGUCAGAUCUGUCUGCCUCAUGGGGCCAGGUCUCCGAUCCAUGCCGCGACACUACCGGCAUGGCGGCCCGGGUUCGGGCAGCAUCCAUGGUGUCGGGUGCGCUGGCGAGGUCUCUGGGGAACGAGAGGCAGGGGACUGGCACGGCUUUCGGUCAUAGGUUCUGGUAACGCCAAGCCGUAGAUCUGAGCCACCGUCUCCACAGUAGGCAUAGCCCUAUGGUAGAUGCUUCAUGUGCUCCCUUGAUGUAGUGUCCUCUUGCCACCAUCCUGAGACAAGAUACAAGCACCAUCGUUCUGCUCCUUUAAUUUGUCUGAACUUUCUAAUAGCCGCAUGUUGACUCUAAGCACACUAUUUUAGCUAAAACUAUGUACCGCAGGUGCAGCUUUGACAUGUUGUGAUGGAAUUACCAACCAAGAUCACAUCAAGCAGCAACAAUGUAGCCUUUAGUUUUUAACAAGUGCACUCUUCAGUGUCUGAUGAAUUAUUAACUUGCAAAGACUGCUUGAUGUGGUGGAGAUAGUUACAGUACACCAAGGAAAACAAAUGCGAUGUUGAUACAUGCAAGUAUUGUUUUAUUUUCAAUAUAAAAGUGCCAAAUUUAGCUUGUGCAAGGUUCAACAUUCGAGGCUGGGUGUGAUGAAAGCUUGCAGCCCAUAAUUGGCAUGGUCUUUGUUUGAUGGAAA
Molecule: non-coding RNA, 3279 nt
Organism: Aegilops tauschii subsp. strangulata
Lineage: Eukaryota; Viridiplantae; Streptophyta; Magnoliopsida; Poales; Poaceae
Source: RefSeq, a predicted model, not a curated record